ACUGUGAUUCCCUUAGUAACUGCGAGUGAAGCGGGAUAAGCCCAUCGUUUAAUCUUCCCGGACCAUGAACGGGACGAAAUGUAACGGUAUGGAUAGGUUCUCUACCAACAAUGUCUGAUCAAAGUCCUCCGGAUUGAGGUGCCAAAGAGGGUGACAGCCCCGUGUGUGAUUGGAUAGCGUUGGGUAUGUGACCGAUUCCGAGAGUCGGGUUGUUUGGGACUGCAACCUAAAGUAGGUGGUAAACUCCACCCAAGGCUAAAUAUUGACACGAAACCGAUAGCGAACAAGUACUGUGAAGGAAAGUUGAAAAGAACUCUGAAAAGAGAGUUAAAAGUACGUGAAACCGCUAACGGGGAAGCGGAAGGCAGUGUCGAGAUUGAGUAAGUGAGUCGGUUCAAGUGGCGUUUAGUGUGUCGUGUUGGCGGUGUGUAAUGUGCAUUUGGAUGGGCUAGCUUUGCUUGAUGCGUCAGGACUAUUGGUGUGUGAUGGUUGUUCAAUCGUUAGCAUGGCUAUCACGGAAUAGACAAAUAUUUCGUGGUUGCGGCUGGUGAUCCGCCUCGUGUGCUGAUAUGUAUGUAAUGUAGCGUUGGUGAUGUAUUACGGUACGGUAUGAUCGGUUGGUGCUAUGGGAUGCUUCGUGCUGGUCACAUUGUGGCUACGUAGGGAGAAAUCGUGUAGUAGUUCAACAACCAGUGCUAGCUCUUGACGUGAUACCUAACUUUC
Molecule: ribosomal RNA, 723 nt
Filed under: Kudoa grammatorcyni
Lineage: Eukaryota; Metazoa; Cnidaria; Myxozoa; Multivalvulida; Kudoidae
Description: eukaryotic LSU rRNA
Rfam family: Eukaryotic large subunit ribosomal RNA
Source: RNAcentral